Molecule: long non-coding RNA, 542 nt
Organism: Strongylocentrotus purpuratus (purple sea urchin)
Lineage: Eukaryota; Metazoa; Echinodermata; Echinoidea; Camarodonta; Strongylocentrotidae
Exons: 2
Source: RefSeq, a predicted model, not a curated record
AUUACUGGAGAGGACAUUACUGCAGAGAAGUCACAAGUGGUGCACGUGCAUACUGGGCAAUUGAGUUACAUGACCACAAAGACUGUAUUGUACAAGGGCGUACGUUUAAGACAAGCCUUUUUUUUAUAUAGUAUGGGUGGUGAGUGUUAUUGGAUUUUAUUGUAUUGAAUGAAUCUGUUGUUGCUUUUUUACACUUCAACUGUAAUUUAGGUUUUGCUUAAGUGAUGUAAGGCAUUAUAUAUGUGAAAUGAAAAGUUAACUGUCCUUCAGCCGUUAUAUUAGACAUGAUAUAUUAUUUAAUUUAACCUAUUCAUUGAAGUCAUGAAAGUAAUAGUGGUGAUUAUUUAGUUGAUACAAUAUUUUGAAGCUGGUCUAUAAUAAACUUAUUCACUGAACACCUUCUUUGUUGCUGGUACAGAUCAUGAAGUAAUUGGUUAUUUGAAUAUUAUGGUGUUUUUGAUGUACAUUUGUUUUUACUCUUGUGCUUCUACAGGGGCUGUUUUGUUGCCUUCAGAAUAAAAUAACCUUCCAUCAACUGCAAA